Molecule: ribosomal RNA, 400 nt
Filed under: Nitzschia sp. MACC11
Lineage: Eukaryota; Bacillariophyta; Bacillariophyceae; Bacillariales; Bacillariaceae
Also listed under: 1 other name
Description: SSU rRNA
Rfam family: Eukaryotic small subunit ribosomal RNA
Source: RNAcentral
GCUCGUAGUUGGAUUUGUGGCUGUCGCGUGCGGCCCGGCAUUCGUGCCGGUGCUUGCUAGCGUCGCCAUCCUUGGGUGGAACCUGUGUGGCAUUAGGUUGUCGUGCAGGGGAUGCCCAUCGUUUACUGUGAAAAAAUUAGAGUGUUCAAAGCAGGCUUAUGCCGUUGAAUAUAUUAGCAUGGAAUAAUAAGAUAGGACCUUGGUACUAUUUUGUUGGUUUGCGCACCAAGGUAAUGAUUAAUAGGGACAGUUGGGGGUAUUCGUAUUCCAUUGUCAGAGGUGAAAUUCUUGGAUUUUUGGAAGACGAACUACUGCGAAAGCAUUUACCAAGGAUGUUUUCAUUAAUCAAGAACGAAAGUUAGGGGAUCGAAGAUGAUUAGAUACCAUCGUAGUCGUCAUA